Molecule: transfer RNA, 64 nt
Filed under: Galeruca interrupta
Lineage: Eukaryota; Metazoa; Arthropoda; Insecta; Coleoptera; Chrysomelidae
Description: tRNA-His
Source: RNAcentral
AUCUAAAUAGUUUAAAAAAAAUAUUAGUUUGUGGUACUAAAGUUAUAUUAAGAGAUUUUAGAUU